This 396-nucleotide ribosomal RNA is filed under the name uncultured bacterium. Its description in RNAcentral is "partial 16S ribosomal RNA". It matches the Rfam family "Bacterial small subunit ribosomal RNA", at positions 523 to 918 of the family's 1533-position model. The record is from RNAcentral.
AUACGUAGGUGGCGAGCGUUAUCCGGAUUUACUGGGUGUAAAGGGCGCGUAGGCGGAUCAGCAAGUCAGAUGUGAAAUCCAUGGGCUUAACUCAUGAACUGCAUUUGAAACUGUUGGUCUUGAGUGCUGGAGAGGUAGACGGAAUUCCUAGUGUAGCGGUGAAAUGCGUAGAUAUUAGGAGGAACACCAGUGGCGAAGGCGGCCUGCUGGACGACAACUGACGCUGAGGCGCGAAAGCGUGGGGAGCAAACAGGAUUAGAUACCCUGGUAGUCCACGCUGUAAACGAUGAAUACUAGGUGUGGGGGGACUGACCCCUUCCGUGCCGCAGUUAACACAAUAAGUAUUCCACCUGGGGAGUACGAUCGCAAGAUUGAAACUCAAAGGAAUUGACGGGG